RNAcentral lists this unclassified non-coding RNA (564 nucleotides) under Hevea brasiliensis (rubber tree). Lineage: Eukaryota; Viridiplantae; Streptophyta; Magnoliopsida; Malpighiales; Euphorbiaceae. The record is from RNAcentral.
GCAUCCCACACUUGUGGGCUUUGGAGAGGGUUGAUGCACACAGCCUCCCCCCUAUUUUGCAGAGAGGCUAUUUCCGUAGCUCAAAGCUGUGACCUCCAGGUCACAAAUGGAGUAACUUUACCAUUGUAAUAGAAAGAAUGCUAACAUAAAAUGGACUUUGAGAAAAAUAACAGCCACAAGCACAUAUGGGUGCAUGCCUGCAUGCACACAUACAAAGGUAACCCCUUAACUCAAAAGCAACUCAUUGCUAAAGGAAUUGAUCCAAAACAUCCAUUAUUGCACUAGUAUUUUGAAAUUAUAAUGGCUCCUUCCAGACUACAUGAUUUAUAAUUCAGACUUUAAAUGCUCAAUACAAAGAAGCAUUUCCGUUUACAAGGGCAAAUAAUUUCUGCUUGACAUAUAAAAUGUACAAGUUCUGACAGUAAAAGUCUUCUUUCAUUUCAGUAGCUUAUCUUUUCCCAAUAAUUUUGGUGCCCAAAAGGCAACUUUAACAAUAUCCUGCAUGUAUCAAAGUUCAUGUGAAUCCAAAACGUGCCAGAAUAUGUUCAAACAAAAAUACUAACA